UACAGAGGGGGCAAGCGUUGUUCGGAAUUACUGGGCGUAAAGGGCGCGUAGGCGGCCCGCUAAGUCGAACGUGAAAUCCCCGAGCUCAACUCGGGAACUGCGUCCGAUACUGGUGGGCUUGAAUCCGGGAGAGGGAUGCGGAAUUCCAGGUGUAGCGGUGAAAUGCGUAGAUAUCUGGAGGAACACCGGUGGCGAAGGCGGCAUCCUGGACCGACAUUGACGCUGAGGCGCGAAAGCCAGGGGAGCAAACGGG
RNAcentral lists this ribosomal RNA (253 nucleotides) under uncultured bacterium. Its description in RNAcentral is "partial 16S ribosomal RNA". It matches the Rfam family "Bacterial small subunit ribosomal RNA", at positions 524 to 776 of the family's 1533-position model. The record is from RNAcentral.